This 759-nucleotide unclassified non-coding RNA is filed under the name Boletaceae sp. 5 CG-2012. Its description in RNAcentral is "sequence contains ITS1, 5.8S rRNA gene, ITS2". The stretch from base 276 to 430 matches the Rfam family "5.8S ribosomal RNA". The record is from RNAcentral. Lineage: Eukaryota; Fungi; Basidiomycota; Agaricomycetes; Boletales; Boletaceae.
UAUCGAAUUAUAAAGGGAAUGGGGGGGGAAAACAUAAUGAAAAGUCAAGAUUGUCGCUGGCUUUCUUUUAGAUAAUGCAUGUGCACAUCUAUCUUUUCUCAUGUUGAUCCCUCUUUCUCUUAUACACAUUAUACACACUUGUGCACCUAUUGUAGGCCCUCGAAAAGAGGAUCUAUGUUCUUUUUCUAUAACCCACACUUUUUAUUGUAUGUCCACAGAAUGUAUUAAGAAUCUGUCAAUCCUUCUUUGAAGGUGGCGAUUCAAUAAAUCUAUACAACUUUCAGCAACGGAUCUCUUGGCUCUCGCAUCGAUGAAGAACGCAGCGAAUUGCGAUAAGUAAUGUGAAUUGCAGAUUUUCAGUGAAUCAUCGAAUCUUUGAACGCACCUUGCGCUCCUUGGUAUUCCAGGGAGCAUGCCUGUUUGAGUGUCAUUGAAUUAUCAACCUUGCUUUGAUUAAUAUUUUAAAGCAUGGCUUGGAGUUUGGGAGUUUGCUGGUAUUAAAUAUAUAUAUAUUUUUGUCAGCUCUCCUAAAAUACAUUAGCAAUGGAUAGUGCAACUUUGAUGUGCACGGUCUUUGACGUGAUAAUGAUCGUCGUGGCUGGAACACGUCUAGAAGGAUGUACUAUCCAUGCUUCUAACUUUCUAGAUCCUAGCCUUUUUCGGGGGUUUCUUGGGCUUAUUAGUCGGUUGUAAGACUGAUGAACACCUGGGCAAAAAUCCUUUUGAUAUUAGGUUAGAUCAAGUUGUUUUUGAAACUUG